UACGAGGGUGCAAGCGUUGCUCGGAAUCAUUGGGCGUAAAGGGCAGGUAGGUGGUCUUAUUUGUCUGGGGUGAAAGCCUUGAGCUUAACUCAAGAAGUGCCUCGGAAACGGUAAGACUAGAGUGCUAGAGAGGGUCGUGGAAUUCCCGGUGUAGCGGUGAAAUGCGUAGAGAUCGGGAGGAACACCAGAGGCGAAAGCGGCGGCCUGGAUAGUAACUGACACUCAACUGCGAAAGCGUGGGGA
This 243-nucleotide ribosomal RNA is filed under the name uncultured bacterium. RNAcentral describes it as "partial 16S ribosomal RNA". It matches the Rfam family "Bacterial small subunit ribosomal RNA", at positions 524 to 767 of the family's 1533-position model. The record is from RNAcentral.